RNAcentral lists this ribosomal RNA (497 nucleotides) under uncultured bacterium. Its description in RNAcentral is "partial 16S ribosomal RNA". It matches the Rfam family "Bacterial small subunit ribosomal RNA", at positions 28 to 507 of the family's 1533-position model. The record is from RNAcentral.
GACGAACGCUGGCGGCGUGCCUAAUACAUGCAAGUUGAGCGCUGAAGGUUGGUACUUGUACCAACUGGAUGAGCAGCGAACGGGUGAGUAACGCGUGGGGAAUCUGCCUUUGAGCGGGGGACAACAUUUGGAAACGAAUGCUAAUACCGCAUAAUAACUUUAAACACAAGUUUUAAGUUUGAAAGAUGCAAUUGCAUCACUCAAAGAUGAUCCCGCGUUGUAUUAGCUAGUUGGUGAGGUAAAGGCUCACCAAGGCGAUGAUACAUAGCCGACCUGAGAGGGUGAUCGGCCACAUUGGGACUGAGACACGGCCCAAACUCCUACGGGAGGCAGCAGUAGGGAAUCUUCGGCAAUGGACGAAAGUCUGACCGAGCAACGCCGCGUGAGUGAAGAAGGGUUUCGGAUCGUAAAACUCUGUUGGUAGAGAAGAACGUUGGUGAGAGUGGAAAGCUCAUCAAGUGACGGUAACUACCCAGAAAGGGACGGCUAACUACGUG